This 398-nucleotide long non-coding RNA is filed under the name Elaeis guineensis (African oil palm). RNAcentral describes it as "long non-coding RNA (EGUI_LNC076051)". The record is from RNAcentral. Lineage: Eukaryota; Viridiplantae; Streptophyta; Magnoliopsida; Arecales; Arecaceae.
GAGGAGAAGAAAUAGGCAAAAAGAAAGGAGAGAGGGAAGGAUAGGUUGUCGGGGAGAAGGGACGGAUGUGGGGGGCUGUCGUAAAGGGGUAGGACUCAUGGGUAGGCUUGAAGGAGAAAGGAAAUGAAAAGGUGAAAUAGAUGAGGAGGAUAAGGAGGGAAGAGAGGCUGUCGAUAAGUAAAGAAUUGGAGGAGGAUAAAGAGGAGAAGAAGAUGGAGAGGAAGGAGAGAGAAAGGACAAGUUGUUGGUGAGAAAGGAUGGAGAUGGAGGAGGCCGUCGUGGAGGGGAUGGUUUAUGGGCAGCUUGGAAGAGAAGGAUGAUGAGGAGAAGUGGAUAAGGAAGGGGAGGAGGUGGAGGCUGCCAUGGAAGAGAAAGGGACAAAGAGGAAGGAGGGAGCA